RNAcentral lists this ribosomal RNA (773 nucleotides) under uncultured Neocallimastigales. RNAcentral's name for it is "partial large subunit ribosomal RNA". It matches the Rfam family "Eukaryotic large subunit ribosomal RNA", at positions 24 to 642 of the family's 3401-position model. The record is from RNAcentral. Lineage: Eukaryota; Fungi; Neocallimastigomycota; Neocallimastigomycetes; Neocallimastigales.
UACGACUACAUAUCAGGCAUAUCAAUAAGCGGAGGAAAAGAAACUAACAAGGAUUCCCUUAGUAACGGCGAGUGAAGCGGGAAGAGCUCAAAUUUGAAAUCUUCAAGGUUUUACCUUGACGAAUUGUAGUUUAAAGAAGUGUUUUCUGUUGAAGUUUUGGUAAAAGUUCUUUGGAAUAGGACAUCAUAGAGGGUGAGAAUCCCGUAUUUGACCAUUAUUUUCAGCUGUGUGAUACACUUUCAAAGAGUCGGAUUGUUUGGGAAUGCAGUCCAAAAUGGGUGGUAAAUUUCAUCUAAAGCUAAAUAUUGGCGAGAGACCGAUAGCGAACAAGUACCGUGAGGGAAAGAUGAAAAGAACUUUGAAAAGAGAGUUAAACAGUACGUGAAAUUGUCAAAAGGGAAGCGUUUGACACCAGUGUUGUUUCUACGAAAAUCAAUUUAUGAUGGCUUGAUGCUAAGCUUUAAGACUUUAUCCGCUUGUUGUUUAGUUUUCUUGUCUUUGUGAAUGCACUUUUCGUGGAACAAGUCAACAUCAAUUUCUUUUGCUGUAAAAGGGUAAGAGGAAGGUGGCUUCGGCUUCGGUUGAAGUGUUUAUAGCCUUUUAUCUCUGCAGUCGGAGAGAUUGAGGUCUGCAGCGUAGACUCUUCGGGGUUAGAUACGUCGGUGCUAAGCUAUAGCUUUUCAUAGACAACUUGUUGACUAUGUUUAGUCAUGUGGCUUACCCGCUGGCGCUAUUUUACCUACGCUUAGGAUGUUGAGCGCAUGUCUCUCUCU